Molecule: long non-coding RNA, 735 nt
Filed under: Equus caballus (horse)
Lineage: Eukaryota; Metazoa; Chordata; Mammalia; Perissodactyla; Equidae
Description: lncRNA (ENSECAG00000033651.3)
Source: RNAcentral
AAAUAACCCAGAUUAUUUUAUUUAAAAAAGAUGUAACUGAGUGCUUUGGCUCCUAGGGAACCAAGAGUGUAAGAAUGGAUUUAAUGAAAAGGACAAUAUUUAUACACUUGUAGUUGAAUAGGGAAUCAUUUUCCAAUAUUUUAUAUAUUUGAGAGAACAGCAACUACCCUCUGGGAUGUCACCGCAAAAGCACGAACCAUGCCCUGCAGAUAACUCGAGUCAGAAUGAGGGUGACUUUCCCAAGGGCUCUUUUCCAUGACUGUGGAAGCUUGUAGACUUGGGGGCUACAGAGAGCCCAUGACAAUAAACAAAUGCUCACUGAUAGACAAGUUUUUACGACAGAACAAUCUUUUAGACUGAUUCUGAAUUCUGUUCUCAAAAGCACACCUUCGUGUUAACUGUCUAAGGCCUGAAUUUUUCUUGCUUUAUGACACAUGAAGACACAUCGCUCUGUCAGACUGUAAUCUCCUUGAAGGGGCCCCGAGUCUGUGUCCACAAUAAUGUGAACUUGUGUCCUGACAACAGGCAGAAACGUCAAGGUUGUACACACUCUCUAAUGAACAGCUGUCUAAUCUCAACCCCUCGUCCCCAGAGGUGAAGCUCUGAGACAAACCAAAUAAGCUUCAGUGGGAGAACAGGUUUGAAGCAAGGAAGGACGAGCGAGCACCAGACUCCCUCACCUGCUCCACUGGAGGAGCAGCUGGAAGGCUCAUUUCCUUGGCAUCCUUGGCAGGU